Molecule: non-coding RNA, 75 nt
Organism: Zootoca vivipara (common lizard)
Lineage: Eukaryota; Metazoa; Chordata; Lepidosauria; Squamata; Lacertidae
Source: the annotation of a RefSeq genome assembly
GGGGUUGCUGUAGUUCAGUGGUAGAACAUCUGCUUUUCAUGCAGAAGGUCUUGGGUUCAAUCCCUGGCAACUCCA